Molecule: ribosomal RNA, 428 nt
Filed under: uncultured bacterium
Lineage: Bacteria
Description: bacterial SSU rRNA
Rfam family: Bacterial small subunit ribosomal RNA
Source: RNAcentral
UGGGGAAUCUUCCGCAAUGGACGAAAGUCUGACGGAGCAACGCCGCGUGAGUGAAGAAGGCCUUCGGGUCGUAAAGCUCUGUUGUCAGGGAAGAAAGGUACUUUUGUGAAUAAUGGGAGUAAAUGACGGUAGCGUGAGAAGAAGCCCCGGCUAACUUCGUGCCAGCAGCCGCGGUAAUACGAAGGGGGCAAGCGUUGUUCGGAAUUACUGGGCGUAAAGCGCACGCAGGCGGCGUGACGCGUCAGAAGUGAAAUCCCCGGGCUCAACCUGGGAACUGCUUUUGAAACGGUCAUGCUUGAAUCAUGGAGAGGGUAGCGGAAUUCCGAGUGUAGAGGUGAAAUUCGUAGAUAUUAGGAGGAACACCAGUGGCGAAGGCGGCUUUCUGGACUGUAACUGACGCUGAGGUGCGAAAGCCAGGGGAGCGAACG